Molecule: ribosomal RNA, 253 nt
Filed under: uncultured bacterium
Lineage: Bacteria
Description: partial 16S ribosomal RNA
Rfam family: Bacterial small subunit ribosomal RNA
Source: RNAcentral
GACGUAGGGCGCGAGCGUUGUCCGGAAUUAUUGGGCGUAAAGAGCUCGUAGGCGGCCUGUUACGUCUGCUGUGAAAUCCCGGGGCUUAACCCCGGGCGUGCAGUGGAUACGGGCAGGCUGGAGGCAGGCAGGGGAGAAUGGAAUUCCCGGUGUAGCGGUGAAAUGCGCAGAUAUCGGGAGGAACACCGGUGGCGAAGGCGGCUUCCUGGUCCAGCACCGACGUUCAGGCACGAAAGCGUGGGGAGCAAACAGG